RNAcentral lists this ribosomal RNA (465 nucleotides) under uncultured bacterium. RNAcentral's name for it is "bacterial SSU rRNA". It matches the Rfam family "Bacterial small subunit ribosomal RNA", at positions 335 to 792 of the family's 1533-position model. The record is from RNAcentral.
ACUCCUACGGGAGGCAGCAGUGGGGAAUAUUGCACAAUGGGCGCAAGCCUGAUGCAGCCAUGCCGCGUGUGUGAAGAAGGCCUUCGGGUUGUAAAGCACUUUCAGUCGUGAGGAAGGUGGUAGUGUUAAUAGCACUAUCAUUUGACGUUAGCGACAGAAGAAGCACCGGCUAACUCCGUGCCAGCAGCCGCGGUAAUACGGAGGGUGCGAGCGUUAAUCGGAAUUACUGGGCGUAAAGCGCAUGCAGGUGGUUUGUUAAGUCAGAUGUGAAAGCCCGGGGCUCAACCUCGGAAUUGCAUUUGAAACUGGCAGACUAGAGUACUGUAGAGGGGGGUAGAAUUUCAGGUGUAGCGGUGAAAUGCGUAGAGAUCUGAAGGAAUACCGGUGGCGAAGGCGGCCCCCUGGACAGAUACUGACACUCAGAUGCGAAAGCGUGGGGAGCAAACAGGAUUAGAUACCCUGGUA